UAGCCCACACACAUGUAAGGUCAAAUCGUGGGCCCUCAGAUUUGGCGUGGAGCUUAAGGGAGAUGAACAGUCUGGCCUUCAGAGACAUUUCUGGAUCCUGAAGAGCUACAGUGGACAACUCUAGGGAUUGUACUGGCACAUACGACUAGGAAGGACUGAAGUCAGAAGACAGCCAUUGAAGAGUGAAUAGACCCAACUGGAGAACAAGCAAAAAUCUGGAUGAAAAGUUGGAGCAUUUGAGAGGUAUUGGAACAGUUACCUACCUGGCAACAAUCCCAGAUUUGAUCCAGAGAAAUGGUGACUCCAGUUCAGCAAAGAACUUAAAGCUCCCGAGUAGCCCUACAGAAGUCAGUGAGACAACUCAAAUGUGUGCAGCUAAUAUAUCUUUGGUGUAUGUAAAAAGCGCACUUCGCUGGUUUGCUACAUACCACAAAUGCCAUCGUUACUGUCUUUUGACUUAUAAAACUAACAGCCGCCAAUUCAGAAUUGCAAAUAUUAAUGUAAAAUGUGUAUGUUGAGCUUAAACUCAAUGGACUUUUCAUAAAUUCAUAGAGUUUAAGGCCAGAAGUGAUCUCCCGUAUAUCACAGGCCAUUCCAUUUCACCCAGUUACCCCUGUAUUGUACCCUUUGCCCGUGUUUGCUACAAAGUUGGCAGAAAGUGAACAUAUCAGGACAAAUUUGUAUGACCUUCAAAUAAAAAAGUUAACUCUGUGUGUGUCUUCCUUCUU
RNAcentral lists this long non-coding RNA (728 nucleotides) under Chrysemys picta bellii (western painted turtle). Its description in RNAcentral is "lncRNA (ENSCPBG00000015922.1)". The record is from RNAcentral. Lineage: Eukaryota; Metazoa; Chordata; Testudines; Emydidae.